Molecule: ribosomal RNA, 492 nt
Filed under: uncultured bacterium
Lineage: Bacteria
Description: partial 16S ribosomal RNA
Rfam family: Bacterial small subunit ribosomal RNA
Source: RNAcentral
AGUGAACGCUGGCGAUAGGCCUAACACAUGCAAGUCGAACGGCAGCACAGUAAGAGCUUGCUCUUACGGGUGGCGAGUGGCGGACGGGUGAGGAAUACAUCGGAAUCUACUUUUUCGUGGGGGAUAACGUAGGGAAACUUACGCUAAUACCGCAUACGACCUACGGGUGAAAGCAGGGGAUCUUCGGACCUUGCGCGAUUGAAUGAGCCGAUGUCGGAUUAGCUAGUUGGCGGGGUAAAGGCCCACCAAGGCGACGAUCCGUAGCUGGUCUGAGAGGAUGAUCAGCCACACUGGAACUGAGACACGGUCCAGACUCCUACGGGAGGCAGCAGUGGGGAAUAUUGGACAAUGGGCGCAAGCCUGAUCCAGCCAUACCGCGUGGGUGAAGAAGGCCUUCGGGUUGUAAAGCCCUUUUGUUGGGAAAGAAAAGCAGCAGGUUAAUACGCCGCUGUUCUGACGGUACCCAAAGAAUAAGCACCGGCUAACUUCGUA